RNAcentral lists this ribosomal RNA (246 nucleotides) under uncultured soil bacterium. RNAcentral describes it as "partial 16S ribosomal RNA". It matches the Rfam family "Bacterial small subunit ribosomal RNA", at positions 26 to 275 of the family's 1533-position model. The record is from RNAcentral.
AGAUUGAACGCUGGCGGCAUGCCUUACACAUGCAAGUCGAACGGCAGCACGGGGGCAACCCUGGUGGCGAGUGGCGAACGGGUGAGUAACAUAUCGGAACGUGCCCUGGAGUGGGGGAUAACUAGUCGAAAGAUUAGCUAAUACCGCAUACGAUCUAUGGAUGAAAGUGGGGGAUCGCAAGACCUCAUGCUCGUGGAGCGGCCGAUAUCUGAUUAGCUAGUUGGUGGGGUAAAGGCCUACAAGGCA